Molecule: ribosomal RNA, 195 nt
Filed under: uncultured bacterium
Lineage: Bacteria
Description: partial 16S ribosomal RNA
Rfam family: Bacterial small subunit ribosomal RNA
Source: RNAcentral
CCUACGGGAGGCAGCAGUGGGGAAUAUUGCGCAAUGGGCGAAAGCCUGACGCAGCGACGCCGCGUGGGGGAUGACGGCCUUCGGGUUGUAAACCCCUGUCGGGUGGAACGAACAAGCUCGGUGCCAAUACCACCGGGCCCUGACGGUACCACCGAGGGAAGCCCCGGCUAACUACGUGCCAGCAGCCGCGGUAAU